AGCGGAGGAAAAGAAACCAACAGGGAUUGCCCCAGUAACGGCGAGUGAAGCGGCAACAGCUCAAAUUUGAAAUCUGGCCCCCAGGGCCCGAGUUGUAAUUUGCAGAGGAUGCUUUUGGCGCGGUGCCUUCCGAGUUCCCUGGAACGGGACGCCAUAGAGGGUGAGAGCCCCGUCUGGUCGGACGCCUAGCCUGUGUAAAGCUCCUUCGACGAGUCGAGUAGUUUGGGAAUGCUGCUCUAAAUGGGAGGUAUAUGUCUUCUAAAGCUAAAUACCGGCCAGAGACCGAUAGCGCACAAGUAGAGUGAUCGAAAGAUGAAAAGCACUUUGAAAAGAGGGUUAAAUAGUACGUGAAAUUGUUGAAAGGGAAGCGCUUGUGACCAGACUUGGGCCCGGUGGAUCAUCCAGCGUUCUCGCUGGUGCACUCCGCCGGGUUCAGGCCAGCAUCAGUUCGCCGCGGGGGAAAAAGGCUUCGGGAACGUGGCUCCUACGGGAGUGUUAUAGCCCGUUGCAUAAUACCCUGGGGCGGACUGAGGUUCGCGCUCCGCAAGGAUGCUGGCGUAAUGGUCAUCAGCGACCCGUCUU
This 582-nucleotide ribosomal RNA is filed under the name Purpureocillium lilacinum. RNAcentral's name for it is "eukaryotic LSU rRNA". It matches the Rfam family "Eukaryotic large subunit ribosomal RNA", at positions 49 to 655 of the family's 3401-position model. Lineage: Eukaryota; Fungi; Ascomycota; Sordariomycetes; Hypocreales; Ophiocordycipitaceae. The record is from RNAcentral.